GCAUAUCCAUAAGCGGAGGAAAAGAAACCAACAGGGAUUGCCCCAGUAACGGCGAGUGAAGCGGCAACAGCUCGAAUUUGAAAUCUGGCCCUUCCGGGUCCGAAUUGUAAUCUGUAGAGGACGCUUUUGGCGCGGUGCCUUCCGAGUUCCCUGGAACGGGACGCCACAGAGGGUGAGAGCCCCGUAUGGUCGGACACCAAGCCUCUAUAAAGCUCCUUCGACGAGUCGAGUAGCUUGGGAAUGCUGCUCUAAAUGGGAGGUAAACUUCUUCUAAAGCUAAAUACCGGCUAGAGACCGAUAGCGCACAAGUAGAGUGAUCGAAAGAUGAAAAGCACUUUGAAAAGAGGGUUAAACAGUACGUGAAAUUGUUGAAAGGGAAGCGCUUGUGACCAGACUUGCGCCGGGCUGAUCAUCCAGCGGUUUCCGCUGGUGCACUCGGCCCGGCUCAGGCCAGCGUCGGUUGUCGUGGGGGGACAAAAGCUCUGGGAAUGUGGCUCCCUCCGGGGAGUGUUAUAGCCCUAUGCAGAAUAUCCCCGCGGCGACCGAGGUCCGCGCCCUGCAAGGACGCUGGCGUAAUGGUCAUCAGCGACCCGUCUUGAACACCCGACC
Molecule: ribosomal RNA, 609 nt
Filed under: Cryptendoxyla hypophloia
Lineage: Eukaryota; Fungi; Ascomycota; Sordariomycetes; Cephalothecales; Cephalothecaceae
Description: eukaryotic LSU rRNA
Rfam family: Eukaryotic large subunit ribosomal RNA
Source: RNAcentral